CCUACGGGAGGCAGCAGUGAGGAAUAUUGGUCAAUGGACGAGAGUCUGAACCAGCCAAGUAGCGUGAAGGAUGACUGCCCUAUGGGUUGUAAACUUCUUUUAUAUGGGAAUAAAAUGUUCCACGUGUGGGAUUUUGUAUGUACCAUAUGAAUAAGGAUCGGCUAACUCCGUGCCAGCAGCCGCGGUAAUACGGAGGAUCCGAGCGUUAUCCGGAUUUAUUGGGUUUAAAGGAAGCGUAGGUGGAUUGUUAAGUCAGUUGUGAAAGUUUGCGGCUCAACCGUAAAAUUGCAGUUGAAACUGGCAGUCUUGAGUACAGUAGAGGUGGGCGGAAUUCGUGGUGUAGCGGUGAAAUGCUUAGAUAUCACGAAGAACUCCGAUUGCGAAGGCAGUUCACUGGACUGCAACUGACACUGAGGCUCGAAAGUGUGGGUAUCAAACAGGAUUAGAUACCCCUGUAGUC
This 460-nucleotide ribosomal RNA is filed under the name uncultured bacterium. RNAcentral describes it as "partial 16S ribosomal RNA". It matches the Rfam family "Bacterial small subunit ribosomal RNA", at positions 338 to 795 of the family's 1533-position model. The record is from RNAcentral.